RNAcentral lists this ribosomal RNA (404 nucleotides) under Fusobacteriota bacterium. RNAcentral's name for it is "Fusobacteria bacterium partial 16S ribosomal RNA". It matches the Rfam family "Bacterial small subunit ribosomal RNA", at positions 355 to 776 of the family's 1533-position model. Lineage: Bacteria; Fusobacteriati; Fusobacteriota. The record is from RNAcentral.
UGGGGAAUAUUGCACAAUGGAGGGAACUCUGAUGCAGCGACGCCGCGUGAGUGAUGAAGGAAUUCGUUUCGUAAAACUCUGUUCUAUGGGAAGAAAAGGACUGUACCAUAGGAGAAAGCUCCGGCUAAAUACGUGCCAGCAGCCGCGGUAAUACGUAUGGAGCGAGCGUUGUCCGGAAUUAUUGGGCGUAAAGGGUGCGCAGGCGGCUUUACAAGUUGGAUGUGAAAUAUUGUGGCUCAACCACAAACGUGCAUCCAAAACUGCAAAGCUUGAGUUAAGGAGAGGUAAGUGGAAUUCCUGGUGUAGCGGUGGAAUGCGUAGAUAUCAGGAGGACUACCGGUGGCGAAGGCGACUUACUGGACUUACACUGACGCUCAGGCACGAAAGCGUGGGGAGCAAACAGG